GUCGGCGGUUCGAUCCCGCCUGGCUCCACCAAAUUCAUGAGUGGGAAGUGUCUAGCGAGAAGGCUAGCCACUUUGCAUUUGCGAAGUCUGCUCUUUAAAAAUUAGGUUAGAUCGCUGAUAGGUGAUAUCGAAAGAUAUCCUUAUCAAUUAAGUAUCUAAGUUUCUCAAGGCUUAGAUACUGGGUAUGUUGCAUUCGUAACCAUUGAUCGUA
This 211-nucleotide unclassified non-coding RNA is filed under the name endosymbiont of Vestimentiferan tubeworm. RNAcentral describes it as "partial contains 16S ribosomal RNA and 16S-23S ribosomal RNA intergenic spacer". The record is from RNAcentral.